GGGUGUAAGUAACGCGUGGGAAUCUACCCAGCUCUACGGAAUAACCCAGGGAAACUUUGGACUAAUACCGUAUACGUCCUUCGGGAGAAAGAUUUAUCGGAGUUGGAUGAGCCCGCGUCGGAUUAGCUAGUUGGUGAGGUAAUGGCUCACCAAGGCGACGAUCCGUAGCUGGUCUGAGAGGAUGAUCAGCCACACUGGGACUGAGACACGGCCCAGACUCCUACGGGAGGCAGCAGUGGGGAAUAUUGGACAAUGGGCGAAAGCCUGAUCCAGCCAUGCCGCGUGAGUGAUGAAGGCCCUAGGGUUGUAAAGCUCUUUCACCGGGGAAGAUAAUGACGGUACCCGGAGAAGAAGCCCCGGCUAACUUCGUGCCA
RNAcentral lists this ribosomal RNA (374 nucleotides) under uncultured bacterium. RNAcentral's name for it is "bacterial SSU rRNA". It matches the Rfam family "Bacterial small subunit ribosomal RNA", at positions 100 to 510 of the family's 1533-position model. The record is from RNAcentral.